RNAcentral lists this ribosomal RNA (765 nucleotides) under uncultured fungus. RNAcentral describes it as "SSU rRNA". It matches the Rfam family "Eukaryotic small subunit ribosomal RNA", at positions 804 to 1590 of the family's 1831-position model. Lineage: Eukaryota; Fungi. The record is from RNAcentral.
UUAGCAUGGAAUAAUGAAAUAGGACGUAUGGUUCUCUUUUGUUGGUUUCUAGGACCAUCGUAAUGAUUAAUAGGGACGGUCGGGGGCAUCAGUAUUCAAUUGUCAGAGGUGAAAUUCUUGGAUUUAUUGAAGACUAACUACUGCGAAAGCAUUUGCCAAGGACGUUUUCAUUAAUCAAGAACGAAAGUUAGGGGAUCGAAGAUGAUCAGAUACCGUCGUAGUCUUAACCAUAAACUAUGCCGACUAGGGAUCGGGUGUUGUUCUUUUACUGACUCACUCGGCACCUUACGAGAAAUCAAAGUUUUUGGGUUCUGGGGGGAGUAUGGUCGCAAGGCUGAAACUUAAAGGAAUUGACGGAAGGGCACCACCAGGAGUGGAGCCUGCGGCUUAAUUUGACUCAACACGGGGAAACUCACCAGGUCCAGACACAAUAAGGAUUGACAGAUUGAGAGCUCUUUCUUGAUUUUGUGGGUGGUGGUGCAUGGCCGUUCUUAGUUGGUGGAGUGAUUUGUCUGCUUAAUUGCGAUAACGAACGAGACCUUAACCUACUAAAUAGUACUGUUAGCGUUUGCUGAUAUAGUUACUUCUUAGAGGGACUAUCGGUUUCAAGCCGAUGGAAGUUUGAGGCAAUAACAGGUCUGUGAUGCCCUUAGACGUUCUGGGCCGCACGCGCGCUACACUGACGGAGCCAACGAGUAUAUCCUUUGCCGAGAGGUAUGGGUAAUCUUGUGAAACUCCGUCGUGCUGGGGAUAGAGCAUUGCAAU